UACGUAGGAUCCGAGCGUUGUCCGGAUUUACUGGGUGUAAAGGGUGCGCAGGCGGACUGGUAAGUCAGAGGUGAAAUCUCGUCGCUUAACGACGAAACUGCCUUUGAUACUAUCAGUCUUGAAUCCGGUAGAGAUCUGUGGAAUUCCGAGUGUAGCAGUGAAAUGUGUAGAUAUUCGGAAGAACACCAGUGGCGAAGGCAGCAGAUUAGGCCGGUAUUGACGCUCAGGCACGAAAAGCAUGGGGAUCAAACAGG
Molecule: ribosomal RNA, 254 nt
Filed under: uncultured bacterium
Lineage: Bacteria
Description: partial 16S ribosomal RNA
Rfam family: Bacterial small subunit ribosomal RNA
Source: RNAcentral